RNAcentral lists this transfer RNA (81 nucleotides) under Acinetobacter baumannii. RNAcentral's name for it is "tRNA-Arg(gcg)". Lineage: Bacteria; Pseudomonadati; Pseudomonadota; Gammaproteobacteria; Moraxellales; Moraxellaceae. The record is from RNAcentral. RNAcentral also lists the same sequence under 1 other name.
GGCGUGCCUUGGCGCGGGUGAUGUCGCCGCGCCAGCGGGGCGCGAUCGUUACCGUCAGUUCGAAUGCCGCCGGCGUGCCGC